CCUUGCUAUAGCUCAGUGGUGCAGCAUUCAAUUGCUAAUUGAGAGAUCCCUUGUUCAAACCAAGGUGCCCCCCUUCUUCAGGGA
Molecule: non-coding RNA, 84 nt
Organism: Trichonephila inaurata madagascariensis
Lineage: Eukaryota; Metazoa; Arthropoda; Arachnida; Araneae; Nephilidae
Source: the annotation of a GenBank genome assembly